This 683-nucleotide long non-coding RNA is filed under the name Daucus carota (carrot). RNAcentral describes it as "long non-coding RNA (DCAR_LNC005704)". Lineage: Eukaryota; Viridiplantae; Streptophyta; Magnoliopsida; Apiales; Apiaceae. The record is from RNAcentral.
CGAUAGUCAGUCAGCUAUGUACUCUACAAAAUUCCUCACUCUCUCUUGUAUGUAAAGCUUCAUAACGCACUCUCUUUAGAUGAUCUAAUACAGUUAUUUUCCUUACAAAUUAAAAAAAAUUGCCUGUAAAUUAAACCUGGUCACUUAUGAGCAGCAUAUAUGCAGUAAGUCCUUUGUUCUGAUAAUAACAUGAAAAUUUGUUAUUACAUCAGUGGUGAUAUAUCUGUUAUUACAUAAAUGAAAACUAGAUCGAUUAAAUAUUACAACAAUUGUGAAUAGCUGGUAAUUGACUUGGAAACUUAGAAUUUGUUUAUCUUAUUCGAAACUGGAGCAAAAGAUGAGUACGAGGGCUGCAAUGAUCUCUCUUGCGUUGAUCUCUUCACAUAAAAAGAGAAGGAAUCGCCUAAUGACGAAAAUUCCUUCUCAUCUUCGUGGAUAGUAUCCAACACUUUGGACAUGCAAUGCCGUCUCAUGGAAGCGACAAUCAGGGGUGGUGCCACUUCAGAAACAUACCUUGCCAUGAGGGAGGUCGCCAUAUGUUUAAUCUUUUUAACUGAAGAAUGAAAAACCAGGUAGAAUUGAACUAAGACAGAAGUGUUGUGAUUUCAACUGUGUUCUUGUUUGAUACUUAUAGGGGUUCUCAUAGAGAAGUAAUGAAAGCUAAAAGUGGAUAACGGAUUCCA